This is a long non-coding RNA of Ostrea edulis (European flat oyster), 2563 nucleotides long. RefSeq lists it as uncharacterized. The transcript is spliced from 2 exons. NCBI's taxonomy places the organism in Eukaryota, Metazoa, Mollusca, Bivalvia, Ostreida, Ostreidae. The record is from RefSeq and is a predicted model, not a curated record.
CUCAGACGCGUAAUUUUACCUGUGUGUGUAUGGAGGCACGCUUUUACCAUAAAAUCAUUGAUGCAGAACAGUUGGGAUAAAACCAAAACGUACAAAUAACCUCUGGCAUACUGAUUAUCUUCGUCAUUGACAUUUUAUUUUAUGGGUCACCGGAAUCAAUGAAUGGUAUCUGAAGGGAGCUAGAUUUUUUUGCAAACAUUUCUGGAUUUAAAAAAACCUUUUCAAAAACAAACAUGGUGUGGAUAGGGAGCAACAAAUUUUCAAAAGAUGUAUUUCACCACUCUAGAUGGAAAUUAAACUGGAACAAUACAAGCUUUGAAAUGCUAGGAAUUAAAUUCUCUGUAAACCUCUGGGAAAUGAUUGAUAAUAACUACAUUCCAAAGCUAUCGACCAUUCAAAAAUUAAUAGAUCAGUGGAAAAGAAGGAAACUAACACCACUUGGCAGAUUAUCAAUUAUUAAAUCAUUACUUAUCCCUAAACUUAACCACUUAAUACUAACCCUACCCAACCCUGGGCAGGAAUACUUAAAAAAAAUUGAGAUUGAGCUGUAUAAAUUUCUUUGAGGAGAUAGUACACAUAAAAUUAAGAAAAACACGGUUGUCCAAGAUUAUAGAUUUGGAGGUUUAAAAAUGACUGAUUAUACUGAGUUCACAGUGGCCUUAAAAUCAUUAUGGAUUAGAAAAUUAUUUCAUGCUGACUCCAAAUGAAUAAAACUUCUAGAGUCCACUCUUCAAAUGAAAGUAUCGGAGUUACUGCAAAAAGGGUCUGACUUUAUUUCCAAUAUAUCAAAAAGAAUAAAUAAUGUGUUUUGGAAAGAUGUUUUCUUAAGCUGGGUAAAAAUAAUCAAUAUCAACAGUCAGAUUGACUCUUAUAUUCUAAAUGAACACAUAUGGUUUAAUCCCAAAGUAAAGAUAGAUAAUACAUCCAUCUUCCUGAUACAUUAUUACAAUGCAGGAUUUGUUUUCAUCAAAGAUCUUGAUAGUAACGGAAAUUUCUUAAGAUUACAAGAUAUGCUUAAGUUAAACAUAAAAACUAACUUUGUUGAAUAUGCUGGACUUGAAAAAGCAGUAUUAACCGAGUUUCCUAACCACUUUGGAAAAAAAUUAAUAGGACCAACCCUCCCAAAGUCUAUCAUGCUCUUCUAUAAAAACAGUAAAGGAUGUAAAGAUAUAUACAAUAUUCUUUUGCACACAAAAAGAGAGACAAUUACUUCUGUAAAAAAAAAAUGGAAAGAAAAUGAGUACAAUUUUGUUGAAAGUAAUUGGAAUAAGAUUUUUGAACUUCCCUCCAAAGCUACACAAGAGUCAAAAUUGCAUUGGCUGCAAUUUCAGAUAGUCCAUAGAAUACUCCCUACUAACAAGUAUUUAUUCCAACUGAAAAUUAAAGACUCUCCAAUGUGCAGCUUUUGUGGUGUUCAUAUCGAAACAUUAGAACAUUUUUUUUUUCGAUUGCAUACAAAUAAAGGAGCUAUGGUGUGAUGUUGAACAAUGGAUUUUAGAACAGUUUCAUAUCCCUGUAAAUUUUGACAAGCUCACUGUACUAUUAGGUAAAUACUGUAAUAGACAUAUGUAUAAAGUUCAAAACUUGAUUUUGCUUAGAUCUAUAGUAAAACAAUAUGUUUUUUCUUGUAAAUGUCAAAAGAGUCCGCAAGUACAUAUAUCUGCGAUUGGAAAAAUAGUUACAGACAGAAUUGUGGUUGAGAAGUACUUGCUGCUACAAAACUGUAGAUAUGAUGAAUAUGAAACUCACUGGCAGAGAAUAUGUGAAAAUCUAUGUUAGUAAUUAGGUCUAUUUGUACUUUUUCAUCAAAUAGGUUUGUGCUUCUUUUUGUGUUUGAUCAAUAGAUAUAUUAUAUCUAGACCUAUUAUACUUAUCAAAAUCUGUUACCAAGAAACUAAUACCUUAUGUACCUCUCUCUCUCUCUCUCUCUCUCUCUCUCUCUCUCUCUCUCUCUCUCUCUCUCUCUCUCUCUCUCUCCUGAAAAAGACUUUUACAUCAUACAUAUACUUACAUAAAAGAAUAAGGUAAAUAUGAAAUGUAGACAGUAUUAGAGUUAAUAUUAAUGAGUUCGUAUUUUAAAAUGAAUUUAAUAUGUUGUGAAAAUAUCCAUGUAACCUAUCUCCCAUAUGUAUGCAACAGUGUAUGUAUGAAGUGAAAAUUUUGUAAAUAAAAACAUUAUUUAAAAAAAAAGUAAUGUGCAGCACGCCUGCCUCUCUCUCUCUCUCUCUCUCUCUGUCUGCCUCUCUCCCCCCCCCUCUCUCUCUCUCAUGAAUAUGUAUGUGUGUUUUUAUUUGCUACGUAAAAUUUAAGUGGAGGAUACCAAAAAUAUAUAGCACAACAAUAAGCACGUGUAUGAAACACGUGAUCGACUGUAUACUGUCUCUUUUACAAAGUAUUACGAAAUGACAUCGUUUAAUAAUAAUUUUAGGCAGCAUUGUCAUCAUAUUUAUGUAUUGCUUUUUAUUUGUCGGAUUUGUUAAUCUAUUUAACACAUCCUUUUGUACAUAAGUUAAAAUACUCUUGUCAUUUAUUUCCUCAAUAAAUGACCAUUCUAAUUCCUGAC